RNAcentral lists this unclassified non-coding RNA (329 nucleotides) under soil metagenome. Its description in RNAcentral is "partial contains 5.8S ribosomal RNA, internal transcribed spacer 2, and large subunit ribosomal RNA". The stretch from base 1 to 120 matches the Rfam family "5.8S ribosomal RNA", at positions 35 to 154 of the family's 154-position model. The record is from RNAcentral.
GAUGAAGAACGUAGCGAAAUGCGAUAACUAAUGUGAAUUGCAGAAUUCCGUGAAUCAUUGAGUCUUUGAACGCACAUUGCGCCCCUUGGUAUUCCGAGGGGCAUGCCUGUUCGAGCGUCAUUAUAACCCCUCAAGCUCAGCUUGGUGUUGGGGCCUGCUGCACUGGCAGCCCUUAAAAUCAGUGGCGGCGCCAUCUGGCUCUAAGCGUAGUAAUUCUUCUCGCUAUGGAGUCCUGGUGGAUGCUUGCCAUCAACCCCCAAUUUUUCUAUGGUUGACCUCGGAUCAGGUAGGGAUACCCGCUGAACUUAAGCAUAUCAAUAAGCGGAGGA